Molecule: non-coding RNA, 92 nt
Organism: Mycena leptocephala
Lineage: Eukaryota; Fungi; Basidiomycota; Agaricomycetes; Agaricales; Mycenaceae
Source: the annotation of a GenBank genome assembly
GACCUGGUGGUGAAAUGUAUCACACUGCUUUGCCUUAAUGGCAUAGAUGUAUGUACUCGUGGGAGUCCCCGGUUCGAGUCCAGGCUAGGUCA